UUCGUUUGGAAAAACCGCAAG
Molecule: non-coding RNA, 21 nt
Filed under: Caenorhabditis elegans
Lineage: Eukaryota; Metazoa; Nematoda; Chromadorea; Rhabditida; Rhabditidae
Source: RNAcentral